UACGGAAGGUCCGGGCGUUAUCCGGAUUUAUUGGGUUUAAAGGGAGCGUAGGCCGGCUUUUAAGUCAGCUGUGAAAGUCCGCGGCUCAACCGUGGAAUUGCAGUUGAAACUGGAGGCCUUGAGUGCACACAGGGAUGCCGGAAUUCAUGGUGUAGCGGUGAAAUGCUUAGAUAUCAGGAGGAACACCAGUGGCGAAGGCGGCUUACUGGACUGUAACUGACGUUGAGGCUCGAAAGCGUGGGGAGCAAACAGG
This 253-nucleotide ribosomal RNA is filed under the name uncultured Prevotella sp. Its description in RNAcentral is "partial 16S ribosomal RNA". It matches the Rfam family "Bacterial small subunit ribosomal RNA", at positions 524 to 776 of the family's 1533-position model. Lineage: Bacteria; Pseudomonadati; Bacteroidota; Bacteroidia; Bacteroidales; Prevotellaceae. The record is from RNAcentral.